GACGAACGCUGGCGGCGCGCCUAACACAUGCAAGUCGAACGAGCGAGAGAGAGCUUGCUUUCUCGAGCGAGUGGCGAACGGGUGAGUAACGCGUGAGGAACCUGCCUCAAAGAGGGGGACAACAGUUGGAAACGACUGCUAAUACCGCAUAAGCCCACGACCCGGCAUCGGGUAGAGGGAAAAGGAGCAAUCCGCUUUGAGAUGGCCUCGCGUCCGAUUAGCUAGUUGGUGAGGUAACGGCCCACCAAGGCGACGAUCGGUAGCCGGACUGAGAGGUUGAACGGCCACAUUGGGACUGAGACACGGCCCAGACUCCUACGGGAGGCAGCAGUGGGGAAUAUUGCACAAUGGGGGAAACCCUGAUGCAGCGACGCCGCGUGGAGGAAGAAGGUCUUCGGAUUGUAAACUCCUGUUGUUGAGGAAGAUAAUGACGGUACUUAACAAGGAAGUGACGGCUAACUACGUG
Molecule: ribosomal RNA, 466 nt
Filed under: uncultured bacterium
Lineage: Bacteria
Description: partial 16S ribosomal RNA
Rfam family: Bacterial small subunit ribosomal RNA
Source: RNAcentral